This 749-nucleotide long non-coding RNA is filed under the name Helianthus annuus (common sunflower). RNAcentral describes it as "hypothetical non coding rna". Lineage: Eukaryota; Viridiplantae; Streptophyta; Magnoliopsida; Asterales; Asteraceae. The record is from RNAcentral.
AUGUUUGAAGAAUCAGUCCAAAAUCAACUUUUUUUGCUAAAACAGUUCCUGAGCCUAGUUUCUGUUGCUAUUUCAGUCCAAUAAAUUAACACCGUUAGAACCUCCGUUAAUGAAUGGGUAAAACUGCUAAAUUCGUCCCUGAGGUUUGAUUCAAGUUGCUAGAUCAGUCCAAAAUCAAGUUUUUUGAAUUUGUUAAUUAUAAACUUAUUUAGGUAUAUAAUUUUUCUAGACUUGCAUUAAUUUUUUGAAUUUGUUAAUUAUAAACUUAUGUAGAUUAUAAACUUAUUUAGGUAUAUAAAUAAUUAAUAUCACAAGAUUAUAAACUUAUUUAAGGCGGGUCCAGUUAUAUUUAUGUUCGUUGAAUAAAUCAUUAAUAUCACAAGAGAAAAAAAUGGUAAAUGACAGGUUCUUAAUGCAUCAAUACUUGUACCAAAUGCAUUAUAUAUUUUCUUAAAUGUCUUAAAAUUUAAGAUAAAUUACAAGUCUACCCUAAAUAUAUAAUUUAAAUUUGUGUUUAGUUAUAAAAAUAUAAACAGAAUGUAGCUCUUUUGGAGAGCGCAAUUUUAUUUGACCUGUCUUAAACACUGGUUUGACCCGAACCCGUUUUGACUCAAACCAAAAUAAUCCUUUUUAUGAGACUUGUUCUGGCACGACAUGUUGUCCGACCUCACCUGAAUGAUAAGUAUUAUUAAAUAAGAAACCACUUAAUUAAGUAGAAAAAAUGAAUAAAAGAACUUUAUAAUACAAAU